Molecule: non-coding RNA, 591 nt
Organism: Coffea arabica (coffee)
Lineage: Eukaryota; Viridiplantae; Streptophyta; Magnoliopsida; Gentianales; Rubiaceae
Source: RefSeq, a predicted model, not a curated record
GCAGAAAGUGCAGAAAGCAUUAUUGCAGUCGGAUGUCCAUGCAAAAUCUGAUAAAAGUCCUGUAACAGUAGCUGUGUAGCACUUGGUGUAUGAUAAAAUUAGUGACGAGGUAUGUUAUAAACGGUAAUGACUUUUACAAAUAAUCCCACGAUUGAAUUUAUUACAGGGUAGUGGAGAGAGGUUUUCUCCAAUUAAAUGAAGCAGAGCCUGGUCUACUUGAACAAGAACUUAAACUAACUGCUUGUAGAGUAACAUCUGUGCAGUGUCUUGUUCUUUAAAGGAGGUGAGAUUAUUGUAUACUUGUUGUAGCAAAUUAGUGACCCCGUCAAAUUUCUUGGAAGGCACUGAAUAUUAGAUGAGAAUGAUAUUAAGAAGCAAGAGGAAAAGCUAGUGGCAGGUGCUUCAUUUCUUGUGAAAAUGGUCUGCAAGGAGGAGGAAAGUGGUGGUGCCUUGGUGUUUCAAUGUUGAAGUUGAUGGCUUGGUUCCUUUGUUUUGUGUUUUUGAAAUCCACAAUUGGUUGAAUUCUUGUCUUACCUUUGAAGCUAGAAAGGACUAUUACAAUUCAAAAGGGCUACCUUUCUCUUUGGCUUG